This 206-nucleotide long non-coding RNA is filed under the name Gossypium raimondii (Peruvian cotton). Its description in RNAcentral is "long non-coding RNA (GRAI_LNC010439)". Lineage: Eukaryota; Viridiplantae; Streptophyta; Magnoliopsida; Malvales; Malvaceae. The record is from RNAcentral.
GAAUAUUUCUUUUUCAAAAGUUUUGGGUUUAAUUUGGAUGGGCGGUAUGUUUACCUCCGGUGAGGUUAAAAACAGCGGUAGCGGUGAGAUUAGUUACUGUAGCGGUGAGGUUAGAAACAACGGUGGAGUAUGUGUUUGGAUUCAAACGCAGUUGUAACAGUGAGGUAAAAAUAGAAAAUGACUAUUAAGGACAUCAUAUUAGAAUU